Molecule: long non-coding RNA, 991 nt
Organism: Osmia bicornis bicornis
Lineage: Eukaryota; Metazoa; Arthropoda; Insecta; Hymenoptera; Megachilidae
Exons: 3
Source: RefSeq, a predicted model, not a curated record
CUGACAUGUAACAAUGCAGACCUCUUCAUGGUGCGGUCAAGGGGUUCCUGUGUGUCCGGCUGCGAGAGGAUUACCCUGUACAUGUUUAAAUAGCACGAGUCGCUUCUAACCCAUUUCACGAGGAAAGAAGCCAGGUCAAGCCUUUAUCAGCUGUCCAUCUGGUUGGCGUGUGACCUUUCACAUCCUUUUGCACUCAACCACCGACGAAUAACGAAUGAAACGAAACAGUGUGAUUGAUCGACUACCACCGGUUUUAUUCAACGUUAGAUAAAACACAGGAAAUCGGUAAAUGGAUAAACGCUUUUUAUUUUAUUGAUUUUCGAUUCCGAUGUAAUCAAUGUUUCACUCCCAGAAAUUAUUUUACGCCUCGUCAACACUUUUAUUUCGUCACGAUUUUAAACUGAACAUUGGUGAUUCUCAUAUUUCACAGUUUACAUAUCGGAAGCUUGUUAAUCGAUUUUUUGAUACUAUUUUUUGUUGACUGAAAAGUAAUUAAUAAAUCUUUUAUUAAUAAUGAUUCAUCCAUAAACAAAGAGACAUUGACGUAAUUUGGACCUUCUAUUUUGAAAAUCUUAGAUUUUAGAUUUACAAAAAUACAAGAACGCAAAAAUACAAAAAUACAAAAGUACAAAAGUACAAGAAUACAAAAUUUCGAAAUUUCUAAGGGACCAAGCCUACCCCAGAAAGCGGUCAUAGUUAUGGCAGUGAUUAUAAUAGCGGAAUGGUAGGAUUACACCGACGUGGUGUCGAUACACUUGAUCACGACCACGGCUUGAACGCAGAGCAUACCCAACACUCUCGCGCCCGCGCUAAAGGCGCGCUCUGAUUGGCCAGUGUUUUUCGUUAAUAAUUUGAAAACGAGGCCUUAACCAACAUUUUGGCAAAGGAGAAAGUUGGUUAGAAUGACCUCAGCAAUUAUCCCUCCACGGGUCCUACCCCAGUUCUGGGACACCCUGUAUAAAAUGCAAAUUAUAAGUUUAAUUUAAUUUAU